UACCGAGUGGGCAUCUGCAGAA
Molecule: non-coding RNA, 22 nt
Filed under: Rattus norvegicus (Norway rat)
Lineage: Eukaryota; Metazoa; Chordata; Mammalia; Rodentia; Muridae
Source: RNAcentral